RNAcentral lists this ribosomal RNA (482 nucleotides) under uncultured bacterium. RNAcentral describes it as "bacterial SSU rRNA". It matches the Rfam family "Bacterial small subunit ribosomal RNA", at positions 30 to 507 of the family's 1533-position model. The record is from RNAcentral.
AUUGAACGCUGGCGGCAUGCCUUACACAUGCAAGUCGAACGGUAACGGGCCUUCGGGUGCCGACGAGUGGCGAACGGGUGAGUAAUGUAUCGGAACGUACCUUUCAGUGGGGGAUAACGUAGCGAAAGUUACGCUAAUACCGCAUAUUCUGUGAGCAGGAAAGCAGGGGAUCGCAAGACCUUGCGCUGAUUGAGCGGCCGAUAUCAGAUUAGCUAGUUGGUGAGGUAAAGGCUCACCAAGGCGACGAUCUGUAGCGGGUCUGAGAGGAUGAUCCGCCACACUGGAACUGAGACACGGUCCAGACUCCUACGGGAGGCAGCAGUGGGGAAUUUUGGACAAUGGGGGCAACCCUGAUCCAGCCAUGCCGCGUGAGUGAAGAAGGCCUUCGGGUUGUAAAGCUCUUUCGGCCGGGAAGAAAUCGCAUAGGCUAAUACCCUGUGUGGAUGACGGUACCGGAAUAAGAAGCACCGGCUAACUACGUG